CCUACGGGUGGCAGCAGUGAGGAAUAUUGGUCAAUGGACGGAAGUCUGAACCAGCCAUGCCGCGUGCAGGAAGACGGCUCUAUGAGUUGUAAACUGCUUUUGUACAAGGGUAAACCUGAAUACGUGUAUUCAGCUGAAAGUACUGUACGAAUAAGGAUCGGCUAACUCCGUGCCAGCAGCCGCGGUAAUACGGAGGGUACAAGCGUUAUCCGGAUUUGUUGGGUUUAAAGGGUGCGUAGGCGGAUUGAUAAGUUAGAGGUGAAAUGUCCGGGCUUAACUCGGGAACUGCCUCUAAUACUGGUGGUCUAGAGAGUAGUUGCGGUAGGCAGAAUGUAUGGUGUAGCGGUGAAAUGCUUAGAGAUCAUACAGAACACCGAUUGCGAAGGCAGCUCACCAAUCAAAGUCUGACGUUGAGGCACGAAAGCGUGGGGAGCAAACAGGAUUAGAUACCCGGGUAGUC
RNAcentral lists this ribosomal RNA (460 nucleotides) under uncultured bacterium. RNAcentral describes it as "partial 16S ribosomal RNA". It matches the Rfam family "Bacterial small subunit ribosomal RNA", at positions 338 to 795 of the family's 1533-position model. The record is from RNAcentral.